Molecule: unclassified non-coding RNA, 261 nt
Filed under: Hevea brasiliensis (rubber tree)
Lineage: Eukaryota; Viridiplantae; Streptophyta; Magnoliopsida; Malpighiales; Euphorbiaceae
Source: RNAcentral
GGAAAAUCUCUUCUUCCCUCGUGAUCUUAAUGUUUUCUAUACUCGUUUUUCGAAUACUAUGUCGCAGCCUUAUACGAAAUCUCAGCUUUCAGAGAAGCUUCGUAGGCUUCGGAAGAAGUUUCGGGUUAUUUCUUCUCGUUUGAGUAAAGGGUUAGAUAGGUCGUUGUUGUCUCCUCAUGAUCGUGCUUUGUAUGAUCUAUCGAAACAGCUAUGGCAUCCUGAUUUUUCUGAUACAUCGCCUUUUAAUGCUGAGAAAUCGAA